Molecule: ribosomal RNA, 253 nt
Filed under: uncultured bacterium
Lineage: Bacteria
Description: partial 16S ribosomal RNA
Rfam family: Bacterial small subunit ribosomal RNA
Source: RNAcentral
UACAGAGGGUGCGAGCGUUGUCCGGAAUUACUGGGCGUAAAGGGCGCGUAGGCGGAUAGUUAAGUGAGAUGUGAAAUCCCUGGGCUUAACCUAGGAACUGCAUCUGAAACUGGCUGUCUGGAGUGCGGUAGAGGGUAGUGGAAUUUCCGGUGUAGCGGUGAAAUGCGUAGAUAUCGGAAGGAACACCAGUGGCGAAGGCGGCUACCUGGACUGACACUGACGCUGAGGCGCGAAAGCGUGGGGAGCAAACAGG